CAACCUUCAAGCUCUGCUUGGUAUUGGGCCACGCCAGCGAUGGCGAGCCUUAAAAUCAGUGGCGGUGCCGCUGGGCUCUGAGCGUAGUAACUACUCCUCGCUACUGGGUCCCGGUGGAUGCUUGCCAUCAACCCCCAAUUUUUCUAU
Molecule: unclassified non-coding RNA, 147 nt
Filed under: uncultured Helotiales
Lineage: Eukaryota; Fungi; Ascomycota; Leotiomycetes; Helotiales
Description: sequence contains ITS2
Source: RNAcentral